GACGAACGCUGGCGGCAUGCUUAACACAUGCAAGUCGAACGGAAAGGCCUCUUUCGGGGGGUACUCGAGUGGCGAACGGGUGAGUAACACGUGAGUAACCUGCCCUUGACUUUGGGAUAACUUCAGGAAACUGGGGCUAAUACCGGAUAGGAGCUCCUGCUGCAUGGUGGGGGUUGGAAAGUUUCGGCGGUUGGGGAUGGACUCGCGGCUUAUCAGCUUGUUGGUGGGGUAGUGGCUUACCAAGGCUUUGACGGGUAGCCGGCCUGAGAGGGUGACCGGCCACAUUGGGACUGAGAUACGGCCCAGACUCCUACGGGAGGCAGCAGUGGGGAAUAUUGCACAAUGGGUGGAAGCCUGAUGCAGCAACGCCGUGUGCGGGAUGACGGCCUUCGGGUUGUAAACCGCUUUCGCUCAUGACGAAGCUUUGUGUGACGGUAGUGGGUAAAGAAGCACCGGCUAACUACGU
RNAcentral lists this ribosomal RNA (466 nucleotides) under uncultured bacterium. Its description in RNAcentral is "partial 16S ribosomal RNA". It matches the Rfam family "Bacterial small subunit ribosomal RNA", at positions 28 to 506 of the family's 1533-position model. The record is from RNAcentral.